UACGUAGGGGGCAAGCGUUGUCCGGAAUCAUUGGGCGUAAAGAGCGUGUAGGCGGCCCGGUAAGUCCGCUGUGAAAGUCAAGGGCUCAACCCUUGAAUGCCGGCGGAUACUGUCGGGCUAGAGUCCGGAAGAGGCGAGUGGAAUUCCUGGUGUAGCGGUGAAAUGCGCAGAUAUCAGGAGGAACACCUACGGCGAAGGCAGCUCGCUGGGACGGUACUGACGCUGAGACGCGAAAGCGUGGGGAGCAAACAGG
Molecule: ribosomal RNA, 253 nt
Filed under: uncultured bacterium
Lineage: Bacteria
Description: partial 16S ribosomal RNA
Rfam family: Bacterial small subunit ribosomal RNA
Source: RNAcentral